This 107-nucleotide ribosomal RNA is filed under the name Caerostris darwini. Lineage: Eukaryota; Metazoa; Arthropoda; Arachnida; Araneae; Araneidae. The record is from RNAcentral.
AACGGCCAUGCCAUGCUGAAUAUAUCGGUUCUCGUUAGAUCACCGAAGUCAAGCAUCAUUGGUCAGUACUUGGGUGAGUGACCACCUGGGAACACCGCGUGCCGUUG